GACUGCGAGUCAUGCGUCUCUAGCUAUGUUGAGACGCGGCAGACGGCUCAGUAACGCGUGGCUAACCUACCCUCAGGACGAAGAUAACCCCGGGAAACUGGGGAUAAUAUUCGAUAGGUGAGGAUGUCUGGAAUGACUUCUCUCCUAAAGGACUUAGAUACAUGCUUCUAUUUCGCCUGGGGAUGGGGCCGCGCCCGAUCAGGUUGUUGGUGAGGUAACGGCUCACCAAGCCUAUAACCGGUACGGGCCGUGAGAGCGGUAGCCCGGAGAUGGGUACUGAGACAAGGACCCAGGCCCUACGGGGCGCAGCAGUCGCGAAAACUCCGCAAUGCACGAAAGUGUGACGGGGCUACCCCGAGUGCCAUCCGCUGAGGAUGGCUUUUCUUUGGUAUAACUAGCCAUGGGAAUAAGGAGAGGGCAAGACUGGUGUCAGCCGCCGCGGUAAUACCAGCUCUCCGAGUGGUAGGGAUGAUUAUUGGGCUUAAAGCGUCCGUAGCCGGCUUAGCAAGUUUCCUGUUAAACCCAGCGACUCAAUCGUUGGAUCGCGGGAAAUACUACUAGGCUAGGAGGCGGGAGAGGUCAACGGUACUUCUGGGGUAGGGGUGAAAUCCUAUAAUCCCGGGAGGACCACCAGUGGCGAAGGCUGUUGACUAGAACGCGCUCGACGGUGAGGGACGAAAGCUGGGGGAGCGAACCGGAUUAGAUACCCGGGUAGUCCCAGCUGUAAACGAUGCAGACUCGGUGAUGAGUUGGCUUAUUGCUAACUCAGUGCCGCAGGAAGCCGUUAAGUUUGCCGCCUGGGGAGUACGGUCGCAGACUGAACUA
This 825-nucleotide ribosomal RNA is filed under the name uncultured crenarchaeote. RNAcentral's name for it is "bacterial SSU rRNA". It matches the Rfam family "Archaeal small subunit ribosomal RNA", at positions 48 to 857 of the family's 1478-position model. The record is from RNAcentral. Lineage: Archaea; Thermoproteati; Thermoproteota.